Molecule: ribosomal RNA, 508 nt
Filed under: uncultured bacterium
Lineage: Bacteria
Description: partial 16S ribosomal RNA
Rfam family: Bacterial small subunit ribosomal RNA
Source: RNAcentral
GAUGAACGCUAGCUACAGGCUUAACACAUGCAAGUCGAGGGGAAACGAUAUUGGAAGCUUGCUUCCGAUAGGCGUCGACCGGCGCACGGGUGAGUAACGCGUAUCCAACCUGCCCACCACUUGGGGAUAACCUUGCGAAAGUAAGACUAAUACCCAAUGAUAUCUCUAGAAGACAUCUGAAGGAGAUUAAAGAUUUAUCGGUGAUGGAUGGGGAUGCGUCUGAUUAGCUUGUUGGCGGGGUAACGGCCCACCAAGGCGACGAUCAGUAGGGGUUCUGAGAGGAAGGUCCCCCACAUUUGAACUGAGACACGGUCCAAACUCCUACGGGAGGCAGCAGUGAGGAAUAUUGGUCAAUGGGCGAGAGCCUGAACCAGCCAAGUAGCGUGCAGGAUGACGGCCCUAUGGGUUGUAAACUGCUUUUAUAAGGGAAUAAAGUGAGUCUCGUGAGACUUUUUGCAUGUACCUUAUGAAUAAGGACCGGCUAAUUCCGUGCCAGCAGCCGCCGUAA